GUACACAUAUAGAUCUCAUUGUGCCGAACAACUUUCGUAUUGCAUGUCAUAGGCUCCGCCCAACAGGAAGUCAGCUAUUUAGAGCUAUGUAAAAAGCGCAUGCUCUGGAAUUUGAUAUACUUGUCAUAGGUUUUUUACCCGAUUGCCACCAAACUUGGUCAACAUGAUCUCAAGACAUUGGGGAUGCAAAAUUGCCAGGGGAUUUUUGAUAUCUCGAACGGUUUGCUUGUGGCGAGGCGUUGAAAUUAUGGCGAGAAAUGAGAAACAGGAAGUGUCUAAUAACAUCCACAUACAUUUCCUGAUUUUAAUUAAACUUCAUCAAUUUGUUCGUUGUAUGAUGCCGAUCGCAUAUAUGUGACUAUUAGGAGUCCAAAUUAUAGCGCCACCAACUGGCAGCAGGAAGUGUGUCAUUUUCAAAAUGCUUUGAAUUCAGC
Molecule: long non-coding RNA, 434 nt
Organism: Cyprinus carpio carpio
Lineage: Eukaryota; Metazoa; Chordata; Actinopteri; Cypriniformes; Cyprinidae
Source: Ensembl